Molecule: non-coding RNA, 320 nt
Filed under: Glycine soja
Lineage: Eukaryota; Viridiplantae; Streptophyta; Magnoliopsida; Fabales; Fabaceae
Description: Bacterial large subunit ribosomal RNA
Rfam family: Bacterial large subunit ribosomal RNA
Source: Rfam by way of RNAcentral
GUUUUCUGUUUUCAUGAAAUAAAAAUACUGAAAAUUUAUCAUAUAUUGACUUCUUGUUCGAUGGACAACAGGUGAAUAUUCCUAUACUACCCUUUGUUGGUCCCGAGGGACGGAGGAGGCUAGGUUAGCCGAAAGAUGGUUAUCGGUUCAAGGACGCAAGGUGCCCCUGCUUUUUCAGGGUAAUAAGGGGUAGAGAAAAUGCCUCGAGCCAAAGUUCGAGUAUCAGGCGCUACAGCGCUGAAGUAAUCCAUGCCAUACUCCCAGGAAAAGCUCGAACGACCUUCAACAAAUGGGUACCUGUACCCGAAACCGACACAGGU